This is a long non-coding RNA of Herpailurus yagouaroundi (jaguarundi), 460 nucleotides long. RefSeq lists it as uncharacterized. The record is from RefSeq and is a predicted model, not a curated record. The transcript has 3 exons. NCBI's taxonomy places the organism in Eukaryota, Metazoa, Chordata, Mammalia, Carnivora, Felidae.
UCCAGCUCAGGUCUCCGGUGGAUGGGCCUUCCUCUGCAGAGGCGGGAACCCCAUGCACGCACAGGGGCUGCCCAUCCCCUUCUCUCCUGCACUUGACCUGCCAAGACUUGGUGAUGGGACCCCUGGUGGGGCUCUUGGCCCAGGUGAGCCCCGGACUGAGUCCAGGACCAGUCCUCCACGGUGACCAUUGCUCUCCUACCCCAUGGGCAAAGUUGAAAAGCUGCAUUAUGUCCUGUGCUGCGGGGAAAGUAGCACUCAACGCGCUGUUGGCGGAGAGCUCUCUCCUGGACCUUGGAAUUGGGAAGCCAGGGCCAGGAAGCCAAGGCCAAGAAGAACUCGCUGGGCUUGGGCUGCAGCCUUGAAAUGGGAAGCUCCGAAAGCAGAGGGUUUUUUUUUUUUCUGGAGCCUCCUUGGAAGCCUUGAGGUCAUUAUGGAUUGCAAGGAGAGAGAGAGAGAGAGA